RNAcentral lists this unclassified non-coding RNA (1736 nucleotides) under Leishmania donovani. RNAcentral's name for it is "gene:LdHU3.05.0650(CDS-product:hypothetical_prote in_conserved)". Lineage: Eukaryota; Euglenozoa; Kinetoplastea; Trypanosomatida; Trypanosomatidae. The record is from RNAcentral.
UCUCAUCGGUUGUUGCUGUCGCUGCGUAAACAAGCGCGCGCGUGCAGAGGCGUUGCCCCCGCCCCCCUCUCACCUCUCAUUUGGGGGCACUCCCGCUCCGACUGCCACGGCAGCGACGAAAGCCAAGCACUGGCCGACACAACGGAACAGCAAUGCGCACCGGCACCUCCGCCCGCGCGCCCUUCACGCACGGCGUCGCUGGCCGCGCCAUCAAGACGCGCGUCAAGUCGAAUCUCGGUCAGCCCUACGCGCAGCGCUUCUACAACAACGUGUGGACGUACCGCGUGGCGCAGCUCACCACGUCGAAUGUGCGCAGCAUGAAGAAAGCGCGCAUUGCCGUGGGCUUCGACAGCGGCGUUGGUGGUGGACACAGUGGCGGCGCAUCCUCGCAGGACGGCAACGACGGCAGCGGCAGCGGCGCAGAGCUGCCAGUGAAGAGCGACUUGCAGCCACACGCCCUUCACAAAUUCACCGGCGAGGAGGACUGGUCCAUCGUCAUCGCGGUGCCAAAGAGCUCCGAGCAUGUGCGCAACCUGCAGGACUGCGCCAAGGGCAGCCUCAUGCUCGGUCACACAGACCCGCAGUUGUUUCACUGGUUCAAGGAGCUUGGUGCCCUGCCGCCGCGCUCGCUGCUGUCGGGGCCGAUGGAGCUGCUGCGCGGUGACUUGCAGGUGGAGGCGUGGGAGCGGACCUUCUCGCGGCAUCCGGUAAUCCACCGCAUUGCGCAAGACAUGUGGGAAAGCGACGAGAGCAAGACAGCCGAGGAGGCCGUGCACAUCGCCAAGCGGGAGCAGGAAGAGGAUGAGAAGCGCAUGCGCCGCAUGAGCAGCAGCGACUGGCGCGCCAAGUUCCGCGACCGCGAGCGCAACCCGACGCGUGCAGAGGACGAGGAGGCGCCGGUGUACGUGAUCAAGCCGGAGACCUUCUCGCUCUUCCGCAUGAAGCCGGAUGUGAGGCUGUGGAUGAACAUUGCAGGGCAGACGCAGCGGGUGUGGGAUCCGGUGGUGCCCGACCCCGACCCGCUCUGCCGCUGCUCCCACCGCUUCAUUCGCAUGCUGAACCUGGGGCGGCAGAAGCUGGUGCCAUCGCUGAACAUGAACUACUCGCUGAAGCUGACGAACGCCUUCAUCUUCGAGAUCAACGACCGCGGGAUGUGGGCGAUGGGCACGCAGGAAAACUUGGCGGGAAAGAACGGCGUCGUGAGAGAAGAGUGGAUGGAGCUGCGGCUCGACUUUGGCAAGAAUCAGGUUAUCACGACAGAGCAAGAGAUGGAGUGGUGGGUGCGCGGGCUGACGAAGCUAGGUGCGCCGGAGUUGUCGCAGACGAACAGCAGCGUGGAAGAUGCCGGCUUGAACCCCGAAGACUUCGAAUAUCGCCAUAUUUGAGCGGGAAGAGGAGGAGGAAGGGGAGCGAUGGGGAUGGGUCGGGGUGGCCACAGGAGGCAGGCACCCCCACAUACCCGUGUAGCCGCACACACCCCUUUGUGUCGCCCCCCUCCCGCCUCCACCAGCCCUCCACCGCAUCCGGACGCUGCCCAUGACCGUGCUGCUCACAUGUAUGGCACACAAAUGCACACGCGGGCCCACAAGCAGGAGCGGCCGCGCUGUUUUGCCCACCCACCCCAUUCUCGCUCUCACGUGCGGCGCGGACGUGGGUGCGCGCGCCUCUCAGACGCAUUCCCUCGCCCCACGUCCGGAAAGCGGAUCGAGCAGGCGCGCUAGCGUAUAGUCGUCUUG